Molecule: long non-coding RNA, 13700 nt
Filed under: Heterocephalus glaber (naked mole-rat)
Lineage: Eukaryota; Metazoa; Chordata; Mammalia; Rodentia; Bathyergidae
Description: lncRNA (ENSHGLG00000035634.1)
Source: RNAcentral
AGGCGGCAGGGGCUCUGGAGUGGAGUUACGGCCACCGCAGCUGGCAUCUGCUGCUCCGCUCUUCUCCCCGGGAACUCUUCUUCCCUGCGGGUGUCCACCCUACCCCAUGUGGGCCCCACGGAUCUACAGACCCCAGGUGAACAGAGGAUUUGCCUUCCGUGCUUUCCUGGAGGUAGUAGAGGGUUUUCCCGGAGCAGAGUGUGGGCUCGUGGCGGUGAUGUGCAGCGAAGAAAGGCGAACAGCUGCGGGCUGUCGGGGUGCGCGCCCACCCCGGGGACUGCGCUGCCGCCCGGGACCCCCGCCCGCGCUCCUGCCCCUCCCUCGGGUCCGCGGCGCAGAGGCGGGCGCUGGCGGCGCGUGGGUCUUGGACCGACGGCGGGGAAAGGGACGGGGGCGCCGGACCUCCUAACGUGGAUUACUUGGUGUAUCCGCUGGGCUUGGAGGACCCACCGCCUCGUCUCCAUCCGUGGACUGAUUCAUUCCACCCAGCAGCCGGUCGCCGACCUGGAGGUAAGUUUCCCUGCGGUUCUAGGGAGACGAUUUGGUCUGCCUUUUUCAUUUUUUCCCUCCUCCGCGUCGCUUUUCGCUUUUCGUAGGUCUCGGGGUUCUGGCCUGAAAUUUUUGUUCUCGGCGUUGACACCCUCUGGGGGUCACUUUAGGGCAGCUUCUGCCUCCGAGUGAAGCUUCCUCGCCCAGGUGGCAGUGGCCAGCGACCUCCCCAGUCCCGUGCGUGCGCCGCCUCCUGCGCAGCCCCCCCGCUGGCUGCCCGGCAGGACGGAGGCUGAGCCCAGAAAAGCGCCCAGCGCCCUUGCGGGCCCACUGGGCCCUGAGCUCGCCCUGUCGCCGGGUCAUUUUCACGACCCGUUACUUUGGGAGCGGAGCGGUGCUGCCCCCGUAGCUCCUGUCCACUGCGACCAAGGGUGCCGCUGGGACACAGCGUUUGGAGAAGGCCUUGUGGCCCGUGACUGAGGAUAGCAGGAGGUGGAGGCGUUUGUUGUAUGGCUUUAGUGCAGGGACAGGGACACUGUCGGGAAGCGGGGAUGCGUUUGGCCGAAUUGUGGGCAAGUUUCUUAAAUGGAAGCCAGAGGGCAAGAAGUCAGUCCCGAGUAUCCACGGAUCGCUCUCUUCCUCCUGGUAACUCACUAAUGGGACAAGUUUCUUGGCCAGUGAGGCUAGGAUCUUAAGUCUUGAGUCCCGAAUGGAAAGCGAACCACUUUUGUAUCCACAGCUUCCUACUCUCCUGUUCUUUUGUUUGCCCUGUUUGGGGCAGGUGGUACCUGUCAUUGUGUAGAUGCGAAAUAGAUGUUUGUGGAAUGAAUGACCGAGCAACUCCACCGCGAUGUGCAGACAUACACCAGGGUCCUCCUUUACUUUGUCUCUCCUCCGUGCUUGUCUUCAACUCCAGUACUUUUUGAUCUGAAGAUGGUUUCCUAGGGAUUCUUUCCCGGUCACAUGGUCUCCCCUACCCCAUCAGCAGCUUGUAGAUUUGGAACCUGUCCCUGAUGAUCCAUUUCCCACCUGAAGCCCCUCCUAGGUAGAAAAUUCCUAGGACUGGUCCUGGGUUGUCUUGAUCAGUGCUCUGGGUUCCAUUUCCCUCACUGAGCACCUGCUCAGGGACGGAGAAAGAACCAGGGGGCCCAGGAAGAAUAAAAGGUGAGUCUGGUUGGUACUACCCUUCUUCCAGAAGCUGGGGCCCUCAAGCUGCCUCUGGCCCCCAUUGCUGAAUCCACGGUGUAGGUAGCUGGUGUAGCUCAGUCUCUGUGGCCCAGCCCUCCCCUGUCCAGUUCUCUGCCUGGCCUGGCUUGCUGGAAGACUGUGGAAAUUGUCCUGCUGUCCAGUGACCCACGCCAUCCAGUCACUCUCUCUUUUAUAGAAAACUAUAAAAAGGCACAAAAGGCAGGAAAACAUCCAGUUCCCACGGUAAUGCUGCAAUUGGGCAUAUUCCCCAGUGGUGAAAUCCUGCAACACGUGUAACUAUGUUUCCUGCUCACUUUUUUCCUGAAUUGUCUUUGGAGGUUUCCCUAGUAUAAUGCGUCUGUACUACUCUCUUCCACUGCAGGGAUUGAAGCAUAAUUUGUUUGAUAAUUCCCCUGUCAUUGGGCACCAAGUUAUUUUCAAACAUUUACCCUUAGAAGUACAUAAUGCAUUAGUAAACGUUCUUCUAUACAUAAGGAUUUGUCCAUGACAUUCUGCGGAAAAUCCCCAGAGAUAGCCAACUUUGCUCUAAGUCAAGGUCUGUCUAAAAAAGUCCAAGGAAUACCUUGGUGGACAUCGCUGAGAUGGGCUUGCAGUGAAGGACCCCAUUCAUCCACCCCACAGUCCUGCGUGUUGGAGAGGGGGUGCAGGCCAAGGACAAAUGGUCACUGAGUGAAUCUAGGGUUUGGUUCUGUUUUCUUUCUCCAGCACUGAAGAGUUGAGUGACACUGUUAUAAUCACAGUCUGUCUUCAGAAUCAUGACAUUAAUUGAUUUAGUAAUAGCAUAGAUUGAGGUUUAUUAGGCAACUCAAUUAAAAAUGCUUCUUUUCUUAAAAAUUAACUUGAUUUUGGGCCGUGGAUUUAGCUCAGUGGUUCCGCUGCCUCGCAAGCACAAGGUCCCGAGUUCAAUCCCUGGUACCCCCCCCCCAAAUUAAUUGAUUUUGAUAUAAAUCCAGAUUUACAGGGAAGUUGCAGAAACAGUACCUAGCAUCCCUCAGGGUCCUCAACCCAGCCUUCCCACCAUUACAUAGGAUACAUCCAUGGUGCAGCAGUAAGGCCCAGGAUUUGGACAUGAAUGCAGUACUUAUGACUCAUCCGUAGGCUGAUUCAGAGUCCUUCAGUGGUCCCACUAAUGUCCCUUCUGACCCACGAUCGAAACCUGGAUCCUACAAGGCCGUUUUGUAAAAUUGGGAGCCAAGAGAGGCCCAGCAAGUCGCCUGUAUUCUGAGGCUGACUCGGCCCCUCCUGAAUCGUAGCUGUGAAGGCUGCAGAGAGCCCUGGGGCCAGGAGUGGGGGGACCCUGACUGUUAAGUGGGAGGCCCAUCUCUGUGUGCCCCUUCCUUGGGCCCAGACCUCCACCAGGAAUGUAUGGUUGAGUAAAAAUUGGUUUAUUACUAAUCUGUCCCAACAUGUCUCUAGGGGGCCGGUAGAUGGAUGACAUCCGGUGUGCGUGAGAGCAGCCACUGAGCAACUGACUUCGUGGUUGACAAGUACAGGGUGCAGUGCCUGUGCGGGUGACUCACUCCCCAGGAGUGGCAGGCAUGUCAGGUGCUCAGUGUGCAAGCCCAGCCGAGGCCACAUUUCCUGGUCACCUGGGCAGGACUGAAGGACAAGGCUCCUGCUCUUGCCUCUACGUGGGUUAAGAGGAUCUAAGAGGAUCGUCAGGUCAUCUCGGAUGAGGAAGUGACUCCCCUCUUCUUUAAGGGAUUUGUUUCCUCUGAGGAGUGAGGGAAUUGGGGUGGGGACAGCCAGCCUAAAGAGAUUUGGGGAUGCACCCGGUGUGACAGAGGGUGGUGCCGGGAUUUUGCUUGAGAGAGUGCUUGUGAGCAGCUGCGGAAACCCAAGAAAGACUAAUUCUCAGACAGCUGAAGUCUAAAUUGAGCCCCUUUCCCAUGAAGCUUACUCAACCCCAGACCAUAUUUCUCCUCAGGAAGCCUUCCUGGCCUACUCACAGCUGCUGUACACAAAGAGACCACAGGAGUCUCCGACCUUCGGCUCACGAACAGAUUCAGGCUGUCUGGGGCAUUCCCGUGCUUUCCCGUGUAGAAGAGUGGCCCGCAUAGGCUGUAGGCGACAUCUGUUUCCAGUGAAGAAGUUUUGAUCUUGCUUAAAUCUCCACAGCACAUGCUUCUGUUGUCCAGGUGGUGUCUGUGACUUUCAGGCCCUGGUUACUCAAGACUUGGAUUUGUCUUUCCCCAUCUGAGCACUUCCAACUUGCCCACUGCAGCUUUAUAACUUUGAAGUGGAAAAACACGCAUUUCUCUCGCUCUCUCCUCUUACCGCACAGGCAUUUUCUGUAGCCAGCAGGCUUCGUGAGGAUCAUAACAGGAAGCAGGAGCAGAGCUGGAGAUGUUGUGACUAAACACUUCUGGUCUGGGCUGCAGUCUACACCUGCCCUCUCCCUCUCUCAGGGACUCCUUUGGUCCGUCCCCUCCCGGAUGCCAGAGUGCUUCCCGCGUGGAUGGACCUGUUACUCUGAAACUGCUCCCCUGUCCCACAGUGUGCCUUCAGAUUGUAACUUGGAAGCCUUCCUAACUCACCCGUGCCUGGUCUGUCCUUCCACUUUGCAUUUCUGUGGUUUGUUGGUACUGGUAUUUACACGGACAUCUUGAAAUCAGGUAUCAUUUAUCUUUGGUUAAGGUGGAAGUAGCUUCAUUUGGGUGAAUAAUAAAGGAACUGCAUUUCUAGUCCAUCAUAAUCAGUCAGAUCUGCUGUCUUUCCCCUUGAGAUUUUGAGGUCCCUGGGUGCUUGGAAGACACCCCUGAGUGGUGCCUUGGCUGGUGUGCCCAGCAGACCACUACUGCUUCUGUUUCUAGCCACCAUCUUUCUAGAUGAUGUCACUGUCAUCGUGGAACAGGUGGGGUCCUCCAUUCAAAUUGAGCACCACCUCAGCCAAUAGACACAGGCAGCUCGCUGCAUAGAAGGACAGGAAUGAUCUUGCACGCGUUUCUUCCUUUCAACUGUGCCGUUGGCUAAGGAUGCCCCAUCAGAAAUCACUUGGGCUCCCUUGCUUUACAGACUAAUUUUGCACCUGAAAAAAAAAGUCUAUACAAAACCAAUCUUGGUCGAUUACGUGAUCUCCAGAAGGCCUGGAAGAAUCGUGCAACCUGGCAGAAUGCUGAAGUAGCAGGUUUCUGUCCAAGAAUGCUUUCUGUAGCAUGAAUCAUCACCUCCUCCCAUAUUUGGUUUGUUGGUACAGGUUUUUGCACAGGAGUCUUGAAACCAGGUGCGCUUUUGUGUGUGCCUGUGUGUGGUUCAACAGAAGUGGCAGUGUUUGAGCUGGCGUUUGAAAGGUGUUCACUAGGGUCUCAUUUGAAUAGCUCCCAGAUCUAUUUCUUUUGCCUAAAAAGCACACCCUUGACUCAAUUCAUUUUAGUAACUUCCUUUGCUUUCACCAGACUGACAAACCCACCUAGGACAGGCCUGUAGGGACCACCCCUGUCUGCCCAUCAAUUUUGUGCAGUGAUUGAUUAGCGAUUUCAGGGCACGCUUUUUGAGCAAGCCCAUGGAGUAUUUUCUCUCUCUAAUUAUAGAUGAAUUUCCAAUCCCUUGCCUGUCUUAGUUUCACAAAUUUUGACGCUUGCUUCUGUUGGUGUCAGUGAACCCCCUUUGAUUCACGUGCGUGUGGUCCCUGGUGGUCUUUGGGGCCGGGCGGAAGCCAACUUGAAGAUGUGGCAGCCUCUUUGGGUGGAGAGAUCUGCUGUGCUUUGUGCCUAGAAAUUGAGGUGUCUGAGAUGCUGGCCUUUGGGGACAACUUCUUCACAGUGUGAGUGAAACCCUCAGGAGCUUUAAGCGACAACGAUCGUUUCUGCAAUUGUGUCUUCAUCACUUAACCUGAUUAAAAAAUGUAAACCUCUCUUGUUGUGAUAAAAUAUACACCUCAACUUUGCCAUGUUAAUCAUUUUUAAGCAUCCGGUUCUGGCAGCAUUAAGUACACUCACAUUGUUGUGUAACCAUCCUCCUCGUCCGUCUCCAGAACCCUUUCAUCUUCCAAAUUGAAACUGCCUUCAUUAAACACUAACUCCCAACCUCGCCUCCCCCAGCCCCAGCACCUGCACUUCUACUUUCUGUCUCUGUGAAUCCGACUGUUCUAGGGAACUCAUGCAAGUGGAAUCACGCAGGAGUUGUCUUUCUGUGUCUUAUUUUACUUAGUGGAACGUACUCGACGUUCAUCCAUAGUGCAGCAUGUCAGAAUUUCUUUCCUUUGUAAGCUGAAUAUUAUCCCAUCAUGUGUAUAUAUUACAUUUUGUUUAUCCGUUCAUCCGUUGGGCAUUUGGAUGGCUUCCACCUUUUGCCCAUUGUGAAUAAUGUUAUGAAUGUAGGUGUGUAAAUAUCUGUUCAAAUCCCUGCUUUCAGUGCCGUUGGGUAUAACAUCAGAGGUGGAAUUGCUGGAUCAUAUGGUAAUUCUGUGUUUGAUGUUUUUGAAGGACCACCAAACUGUCCUUUCCAGCAGCUAUACCACGUUAUAUUCCUGCCAGUAGUGCACAAAACUUCCAAUUUCUUGCCAAUAUUUACCCCCCACCUCCACCCCACUGCUUCCCUCCUUUCCUUCCUUCUGCCCUGAUGGGGGUGAGGUGCUUUUAGCUUUGAGGAGGCAGUCUCCACUGAGAAUUCAGUGCCCAGGGAACCAAGGAGUAUCGGAGUUUAUGUGGGCACAGUUACUCUUUUAAAAUUAAGAAAUCAGGUGACCUAACAUGUCCCUGAGGUCUUGAUUACAUAAACUGGAGUUUAUCCAGUGCUUUUGUGCCCAUAUGCUAUCUGAUGUCACUCUCAACCAGGUGAAGUAGUCAGGGGUCUUCCCCGCUUUACAGAGGAAGACAUCGAGGUGCAGGUGAGUGAAGCCAGGUGUACAGACAGCAGCCGUGGGGAGCUUCCCUGAGGACCCUAACUCCUAGCCUGGGAAACACUGUGAAAAGUAGUAUUUCUGUAAGCAUUGCCGUGGGAAAAUGAAGCAGGGAGGAUGGAGACUGUCUUCCUCAUUUGAAAGAACUCUAGGGUGAGGGCCGGGGAUUUAGCUCUGUGGUUCUGACACCUGCCUCGAAAGCACAAGGUCCUGAGUUCAAUCCCAGGUACCAAAAGAAGAAGAAGAAGAAGAAAAAAAAAGAACUCUAGGGUGAAUCCUUUCUGUCCACUCGUCCUGCAGGGACAAAUUUCCGUGUGUGAACUUUGCUGAGAGUCAGUAACUUGUUUUUGUUUUUUUGUUAGAGAACCCUUUUCUGCUCAGUCAAAUGGCUUAAGGAAUGCCCCUUUGAGCCCAGAGGUGGAUGUCAGAUUUCUUUGGUCCUGGCUGGGGUAAGGUGACUGCCUCCUUUCUCGAGGUUUCUGGCUGAGGCUCAGUCGGUUCUGGGGUGCACCUGGCUGUCCCGUGUCCAUUCUCGGGGUGGACUGGACCUUCCGUAGGUUUUCUUGUCCCGGGCGCAGAUUGUGUUUGGGUUUGCGUGGUUCUUAUGCCUCUUUACACUUCCCCACUUGUGGUGAGAGGAAAGUGGACUCGAGCCCUGGGAACCCCAUAAAUCUGGCUCCUUUCCAUCUUUAUUUGUUCAUCAUAUUUCUUUGUAUCUUAAAAAUGAAGCAGGAAAAAGCAAAGCCAUUGCUCCAGCGCUUGGGGUUAUAGAAUGGGUUCACUCAGUGAGUUUUUCUUGUCUCUGGAGGAAAGGGAUGCCUCCGGGACCCCAUCCCGUGGUGACCUCUGUCUGUGACCCCUCCUCCUUUUGGCUUCAGACUUGUUUAGGGGUCCCUGAGUUCUGUCAAGGGAGAUUUUUCAGAAUCUCAGGGAAUUUGUGGUCACUGGUAAGCCAGCUGGGCAAUUCAGGUGUUUGGGUUUUAAUUAAAUUUCUAAGUGGAAACCAGGAAUGUGGUUAACCAGAGCUGAGACAGUCCUGCCUCCUCAUUCCACACUGACCACUGGGUUGUUCAGCCUUUCUGGGGAUGGCUUUCCUGGCCAUUUUCAGUGUCCUCUCUUAUCCUGCUGCUCCCCGGCCCCCACUGUUUUGAUAGGACCAGCUCGUUUUCCCUUUGACAAGCUCUUUCUCUAAGCUUUUCUCAUCUACAGGCAUCUGUGUGGCUGCCUUCCCAGUGCACCAGUCAGAGUGGCCACUGGUGGCCUCCCUCAUCCCUGAAGUCAUGACCCAGUCCAAGUCCUUCUCCCUAUCCCUUUAGGAAGGGCCAGUGACCAGCCUCUCCAUGCAGUGGAGUUCUACAGGGAAGGAGAGAGAGCUAACUUUUGGUGCUUCCAGAAUUUUCAUUCCCCUCAAUUUUCACCACCUGGAAUGUUAUCAUUGUCAUCUCCUGCAUGGAAGGCUUGGAGGCCUCAGGAAAAUCCUGAAUGUCUCACAGCAUUGCAGAUGGUUUAAGAUGGCAGCCUGUCCCACACUGGUCACCUCAUUUUGUAUGACUGGACAUGUCACUGGCCUCUCUGGGCUCAGAUCCCCAUCUGUGAAAGGAAGUGCAUCUAGGCUGGUGGUUUUUAGUGGCAAGUUGCAGAGACACCAGCUGGUACCAUUUUAAACAAGUGAGUGUUUUGGUUGUUCAUCUGAGUGAGAAGUCUAGGGGUUGUGCUACUGGUAGGAAGUUGUGUUUUCUUUCCAGUUAUUUUCAUCCUCUCCUCUUCUGUACACAGCCUCAUCUUAAGUUUGCAGACAGAGCAGCAGUGUUUGUGUGCAGGCCUCCUGCCUCUACAGAACUUUGGUGCUAGCAUUCCUGCCAGCUGGCCUCAGGGCCACACCCAGUCCAAGAGAUGGGGUGCUUUCAUUGGCUCCUCUGUGGUCACAUGCUUCAUACCUGGGAUUGUGGGUGGAGAUGGUUUCCCUCCCCAGAGCCACUAGGAUUCUGAAAAUGGAAACUAGGGCCGGAGGAAGCAGAGAUAGAUGGAGGAAGGUGCUACCACCACGACCACGUACCAUGUGUCAAGAUGCCAUGUUUUCUAUGAAUUAAUUGGACUACAAGACGAUCCACCAGAAUGUUUGCUUUGGGGACAGGGACCUAGUUGUGUUCAUUUUUGUGUACUUGGUAUUUGGGAUUGUGCCAGGGCAUGCCAAUUCUCAAUAAAAGCUCAUGCAUGAAUGAACCUUGACAGUACCUUCCCCUUCUAACUGUCUGAACCUGAGAGUAUGUUUUUGCAUGGAAACCUCAGCUUGCCUCAUCAGGGAGCUGGCAUUUUGGCUCUUAAGCUGCAAAAUCCAGCUUUGCAGUUGAUUGGCCGUGACUGGAUUCUUGUUCAUUUGCACAAAAGAUUUGUCACUGGAAUAGCAACUUGAUGCUUGGAGCAGCAUCUUACCUGGGAUUUCUUCAAAGAAAGGCAAAUGCAUUCUCUUAAUUUUGUUGUUCAACUGGUAUGAAAAGCCCAGUGACAGGAACUGGGGGUAACAGGCUUGUACAGACUUCUUGCUGGGCUCCUGUAUUUGACAGUCCAGUGGAAUGCUGAGAACCCAGGGAGGCCAAACCUGGACUUCUCCAAGCCCAACCACACAAGUGGACUUAUUUAGGCAGCUCUUCUGUGUUCACACAUCCAUGUGCCAACUGGGAAGGAAAUCUUCUGGGUGCUCCAUGUGAGAGAGACGGCUUUGAUCUUCAGACUGCUGAGCUGAAGGUGGGGGACCCAAUAUUACUUGCUUUGUCCAUGGACUACACAGGUAGGCUUUGUUUGAGCAGCAGUGACUCAGGCUCAUGGGCUGUGUGAAGCCACGUUGCUCUGGCAGGUGCUACCAGCUGUCAUCUUUUGCCAUCGUUGGGAAAAAAAAGUGUCAAUGUCGUAGUGUUGGGUGGUUUCUCCCAAACUUGAGUAGGAAUAGCCUUUUUAGUGAGUGAAAGGAAAGGAGAGGGGUGAUCUUCAUGCAUUAAAGGGGGCAGAUGCCUCAGGAAGAGUGCUGGCCCCUACCCUUGGUAUUGCCCCAAUUUCCAGAUGAGAAAGCUGAGGUUCUCAGAGGUUUUUGUCACUUGUCCAAAGUCACCCUUCUGGUCAGUGGCAAGGCCAGAACUUGAUGUGCUCACAAGUUGGCCCAUGACUGCAUCCAUCUAACUACUAUCUGCAAGCUGGGGUCCUGUCUCCUUGGGAAAGUGCUAGAAGCCACCAGUCAAAUGAAUUUCAUCUUGUUUCUGUCCUUUGCCUCCUUCUCCCAAUAAACCACCGACAGCUUUAAAAUAGCAUCUGCCCUCUCCAGGUAGAGGUGAAACGCACACCCCCGUAGAGCUAGAAACUGACUUCUUUCCGCCCUGCGGACCAGACGAUGUAGUCAGUGUUACUUAGUACCAAAACUAAUUAAAAUGCUCAUUUAUGGCAGUCUCACCCAUGAGAAACCCUCAUUCACAGCGUCUUAGGUUCUGGGCUUUCCCCCUAGCUCUACUUCUGUUUGCUACCUUUUGCUCACUAAGGUUUGAAGUCUGGUUUGGAGAGCUAUCCAUAAUUGCAUAUCAUUGCAUCUGAAUCCAGGUGUAGAUGCAGGGCUGUUUGUCUUCAAAAGCACCACAGCACUGUCCUGACCGUUCUCUUGGAGAGGCACAGUCCCACAACCUACAUCAGCAUCACAGUAUCCCUUCCUGGAAUACCAUGAAGGUUGCUGAAGCCAGAGCUCACUUAGUUGAAUUCCUGUCACAUUUUACAUCUCCUGUGAUUCCUGGCAUUUAGAAUGACAAUUCUAGGGGUGAGAGGGAUGUCCCGGCAUCCUCCACAAAGGAGGCUUGUGAGGUUUGGGGCGCACACAUCAGUGGGACUGCAGAGCAGACUGGACCUGUCAUCAAGGUGUUCAGUGGAAGUGUUGGGUUAGGGAUUCUAAUUCUCAGUCGACUGGGACGCUACUUUUUACUCCUCGCCUUCAAGUUGAGCUUUCAGAGCGACUCCACUGCUAGGCUCGCUCUUCGGAUGGUAUGUCUGGAUUUGGGGGGAGCUGCCCCAUGCUGGCCCAACAUCACCUUUGGAUAGGACAGGGCCCUGUGAGAAAUUUCGCCCCAGUGAGCUGUGCUUCUACAGAUGCCACAGGCUGUGUCUUCUGCACAAAGAACCUUUUAGCUGACAGAACUAGAAGGGCAGCGAAUGGAGCUCCUGCAUGGCCUUGUGAUGGGGUGGGAGGGAAGGCCUCAUGCACUGAACUGGGUAGACUGAGUCUUACAUUCUCCUUUCACCUACUUUUUCUUUCCCCUUUAGACCCUAUGCAGUGCUAAAAGCAUGGCUCCGGGGCUGUAUCUGCUUGGCCUUGAGUUGCGUCUGUGCUCUGGUGAUGCCGGAUUGAAUCAGGAAGAAGUUUCCUUUUUCUAGCCAGGAGGUGCAAUUCCCUUUUGGCUUUUUUUCUUGGAACUAUAGACUUUGGGCCACCGCAGUUUCCUAUGGGCUUAAGUGAGAUGACUUAGGAGCAGACGGUGUGCACACUUUGAUGUGGAAGGCAAAUUUGAUGAAUUGCCAGCCCAGGACUCUGUUGGCUCCAUGGGCAGGCAGGAAAGAGGUGUGGGAGCGGAGGCCUGGCGAGCCUUCUAGCUCUCCCAUCCUCGGAUCUGGAAUGAGCUUGUCUCAGCCUGUUUUACCCGGUGUCUUGAUAGCUUUUCUUUCCCUCCUGGGUUGCAUCCUCCUCUCUCCUUUCCUUCCUCUCCCAGUCCACAGUCAAUGCACUAACAUUGGAGGUGACACUGAAUCCAGUAUUCUUGCCCAGGUUGUAUUUCAGUAAACUUGCCAAUGGGUUGCCUGGGGGCUAACUCUAGUUUUGCAAAGUUUUCUUCUUUACCUAGUAUUUCUCUUCCUUGAACUUGUGUAGUAUAUGCUGCCAUAGUUGUAUCCCAUGCCUGGGUCUUUUUUUCCUUCACAGUAAUCAUAAGUGUGCAUUGUCUGGUUUCAUAGCAGCCGGCCUGCUCCCCAGUAAAGCCUUAAUAUAAACAGGGAGACUUGGCAGGUGGAUGGCCCACACUGCUCUGCCCUUUGGCGGGUGUGUGCCUGCGGUUACACAGGGAGCCGAGUCACCGGGCUCCAACUCUGAAAGCCAAACAAGCUCCACGCUAACAGCAGUUAUGCGUCUUGCUUUCUGAGGGUCUUAUUGGUUUUUGCUUCGGGUGGUCUUGAGAAUCACACUGCUCUAUCCCCUGUGCCUGUUUUUGUCUUUUUUUUUUUUUUUUUUAAUCCACAGAGCCUUUUUAUUUUCCCCCACAUCAUACCCUUGUAAUUUGCCCUGUGGCUUUGGACACACCACACUGUCCCUUGGAGCCUCAGUUUCCCUUUCAGAUACCUUGGGAUGAGUUGAGCCCUCGGUUAGUUUUAGCAUGGAGGGGUCCCCUUGUUUCCCUCGCUGUUCCCUGCAGAUGGUCAGGAGGAAAAGGCAGUGAAGGAGAAACACUGGGUUGUCCUCGCUGGACAAACUGCUUUUGGCUGUUCUGUAGCACCCUGGGCUUCUCGGAGAAGUACUUUACUCGGUCAAACAUAAGAAAGUAAAAAUAGAAAGCAGUCUUGCUGGGCGAUCUUUAUAAAACAUCAGCUGUGGCAGUUUGGGAUGUCUUUUGUUAUGGUGACCUUGUACCAAAAUAAGCAAAUCAGAAGCAUAAGUGACUCUUCCCCUGAGGUUUGGGAGAGGGUCAAAGCUUAUUUCAGGCUUCCCUGAGGGGAGCAUCCUGUUUACCCCUUCCCAGGGUGAGUGUGGACUCAAACUGCCUCAGAGCUCUGGUCAAAGGCCCCCUCUUUCGGGAAGAAUGAGGUUCUUUUUAGCGUGUGGGUCCUGCUAGGUUCCCAUCCUGGAUUGGGAAGCAGACAGACACUGUGGGGCACACACUGGUGGUGAGCGGGAUGGAGGAGAAUUCCGCUCAGUGGCUGCCUGUGGGCCGCCCCUCACUUGCUCCUGAGGCACAGUGACGCCUUGUUACAGCCCAGAUUGUCCUGGGAAUGAGAAGUCCUGUGCUCCCCCUCCUCCUUCCAGCCCAACCUCCCUCCCCUCCCCUUACAGAAAAAAAAAUUCCUUCCCCCUUUCAGCAUCCGUGUCUUUAAGAAUUCCCUCCAUUGUAGCCCUGGACAGAGACCCUUCUGUAAGUGCGCUGGAGGCCUGUCCUGGGGACACCCCGCCCCCCCUAUUAAAAGACCAUCGGAACAAGCUCACCAUUCUCCUCUGGAGAGGGUCCCUCUGUCCCAGGCCAAGGGACUCUUAAGGGAACGUUUAUCCUGGGACACUCAGUUUACAAAGACUGCUGCAGUGUCAGAUAAACUCACUCAGCCCUGUGGGGAGGGGUGGGUUGGGAGGAGGACAAAACCCCCUUUAUUCCCACCCCUGCGGGGAGACCAAUAAAGACUUUGUGCUGGAGAGCAGGGGUCUGAGCAAACAGAUGAAGGGGUCUGUGUUGGCAUUGAUGUGUGAGAGCAUUAUGGGCUAUUAUCUUAUCGUUUGAGUUUUGGGGGAAGUCUUGGCCUGGGUGGCUGAUGGCGAGGUCCAGUCAGGUAAAGUGAUCCUAGAUUCCCUGCUCCUGCCUCUUGGGCAAGUCGGUUGCGGUUUGCAAUCCCUAGGUGGUUUUUUCUACUAUUUGGAUAGGGCAAAUACCAAUUCAGUGGACCAGGCUCCAGCCGUGUGUGUUGUAGAAGAUUCGUGGUCUCAGCAUCAUGGGAUAAAUUUGGCCGUGUGUGUGUGUGUGUGUGUGUGUGUGUGUGUGUGUGUGUGCGCGCGCAUGUGUCCAUCCCACCUGCGAUGUAUGUGCCUGUUUCGUGUGUGACACCAUCUAGUGUGGUUUUGACCACACAUAGCAUAGAGGUUUCACUCAGUUGUGUAAAACCGGUCAUUUGUGAGAGAAGAGCAUGACGGAUAUUUGUAGAACACUUACUAAGCACUGUGAGUUGUAUCAGCAUCUCAUUUAAUCUCAGGGUUUUGUUGAGGAGAUAGAUCUUUUCUUGAGGAGAUUGAUCUUCCAGACCAGCAGUGCAAAGCUCAGAGAGGGAAAGUGACUUGCCUAAUGUGACCCAGCAAUCCUUGAGGAUCCAGCUCUGCUGCAUCGAUCUCUGUCUGCUGCAGACUGGAGGCUGGGCUUAGCCAGGGCCCAGGGCAGCUGUAAGG